This 492-nucleotide ribosomal RNA is filed under the name uncultured bacterium. RNAcentral's name for it is "partial 16S ribosomal RNA". It matches the Rfam family "Bacterial small subunit ribosomal RNA", at positions 29 to 507 of the family's 1533-position model. The record is from RNAcentral.
AGUGAACGCUGGCGGUAGGCCUAACACAUGCAAGUCGAACGGCAGCACAGUAAGAGCUUGCUCUUACGGGUGGCGAGUGGCGGACGGGUGAGGUAUACAUCGGAAUCUACUUUUUCGUGGGGGAUAACGUAGGGAAACUUACGCUAAUACCGCAUACGACCUACGGGUGAAAGCAGGGGAUCUUUGGACCUUGUGCGAUUGAAUGAGCCGAUGUCGGAUUAGCUAGUUGGCGGGGUAAAGGCCCACCAAGGCGACGAUCCGUAGCUGGUCGGAGAGGAUGAUCAGCCACACUGGAACUGAGACACGGUCCAGACUCCUACGGGAGGCAGCAGUGGGGAAUAUUGGACAAUGGGCGCAAGCCUGAUCCAGCCAUACCGCGUGGGUGAAGAAGGCGUUCGGGUUGUAAAGCCCUUUUGUUGGGAAAGAAAAGCAGCAGGUUAAUACCCCGCUGUUCUGACGGUACCCAAAGAAUAAGCACCGGCUAACUUCGUG